ACCUCACGAUGACGCUCUCGUUAU
Molecule: non-coding RNA, 24 nt
Filed under: Arabidopsis thaliana (thale cress)
Lineage: Eukaryota; Viridiplantae; Streptophyta; Magnoliopsida; Brassicales; Brassicaceae
Source: RNAcentral